AACGAACGCUGGCGGCAUGCCUAACACAUGCAAGUCGAACGAGACCUUCGGGUCUAGUGGCGCUCGGGUGCGUACCGCGUGGGAACCUGCCCUUAGGUUCGGAAUCACUCCCCGAAAGGUGUGCUAAUACCGGUUAAUGUCUUCGGACCUAAGAUUUAUCGCCUUUGGAUGGGCCCGCGUUGGAUUAGCUAGUUGGUAGGGUAAAAGCCUACCAAGGCGACGAUCCAUAGCUGGUCUGAGAGGAUGGUCAGCCACACUGGGACUGAGACACGGCCCAGACUCCUACGGGAGGCAGCAGUGGGGAAUAGUGGACAAUGGGCGAAAGCCUGAUCCAGCAAUGCCGCGUGAGUGAUGAAGGCCUUAGGGUUGUAAAGCUCUUUUACCCGGGAUGAUAAUGACAGUACCGGGAGAAUAAGCUACGGCUAACUCCGU
This 432-nucleotide ribosomal RNA is filed under the name uncultured bacterium. Its description in RNAcentral is "partial 16S ribosomal RNA". It matches the Rfam family "Bacterial small subunit ribosomal RNA", at positions 29 to 506 of the family's 1533-position model. The record is from RNAcentral.